GGAGGAAAAGAAACUAACAAGGAUUCCCCUAGUAACUGCGAGUGAAGCGGGAAAAGCUCAAAUUUAAAAUCUGGUGGUCUUUGGCCAUCCGAGUUGUAGUCUGGAGAAGUGCUUUCCGCGUUGGACCGUGUACAAGUCUCUUGGAACAGAGCGUCAUAGAGGGUGAGAAUCCCGUCUUUGACACGGACUACCAAUGCUUUGUGAUGCGCUCUCAAAGAGUCGAGUUGUUUGGGAAUGCAGCUCAAAAUGGGUGGUAAAUUCCAUCUAAAGCUAAAUAUUGGCGAGAGACCGAUAGCGAACAAGUACCGUGAGGGAAAGAUGAAAAGCACUUUGGAAAGAGAGUUAAACAGUACGUGAAAUUGCUGAAAGGGAAACGCUUGAAGUCAGUCGCGUUGGCCGGAACUCAGCCUUGCUUUUGCUAGGUGCACUUUCUGGUUGACGGGCCAGCAUCAAUUUUGAUUGUUGGAUAAAGGUUGGGGGAAUGUGGCACCUUCGGGUGUGUUAUAGCCCUCAGUCACAUACAACAGUUGGGAUUGAGGAUCUCAGCACGCCUUUAUGGCCGGGGUUCGCCCACGUUCGUGCUUAGGAUGCUGGCAUAAUGGCUUUAAACGACCCGUCUUGAAACACGGACCAAGGAGUCUAACAUGCCUGCGAGUGUUUGGGUGGAAAACCCGAGCGCGUAAUGAAAGUGAAAGUUGGGAUCUCUGUCAUGGAGAGCACCGACGCCCGGACCUGACCUUCUGUGACGGCUCCGCGGUAGAGCAUGUAUGUUGGGACCCGAAAGAUGGUGAACUAUGCCUGAAUAGGGUGAAGCCAGAGGAAACUCUGGUGGAGGCUCGUAGCGAUUCUGACGUGCAAAUCGAUCGUCAAAUUUGGGUAUAGGGGCGAAAGACUAAUCGAACCAUCUAGUAGCUGGUUCCUG
This 922-nucleotide ribosomal RNA is filed under the name Amyloporia xantha. RNAcentral describes it as "LSU rRNA". It matches the Rfam family "Eukaryotic large subunit ribosomal RNA", at positions 52 to 960 of the family's 3401-position model. The record is from RNAcentral. Lineage: Eukaryota; Fungi; Basidiomycota; Agaricomycetes; Polyporales; Adustoporiaceae.